GACAGAUAAACAAGACAAAAAGAAAACAUGGAACGAUACAGAGAAGAUUAGCAUGGCCCCUGGGCAAGGAUGACACACAAAUUCAUGCAGUGUUCCAUAUUUUU
Dipodomys spectabilis (banner-tailed kangaroo rat) is the source of this 104-nucleotide small nuclear RNA. The record is from RefSeq and is a predicted model, not a curated record. Lineage: Eukaryota; Metazoa; Chordata; Mammalia; Rodentia; Heteromyidae.